CUGGUUGAUCCUGCCAGUAGUCAUAUGCUUGUCUCAAAGAUUAAGCCAUGCAUGUCUCAGUACUUGCUUUUACAAGGCGAAACCGCGAAUGGCUCAUUAAAUCAGUUAUGGUUCACUAGAUCGUACAGUUUACAUGGAUAACUGUGGUAAUUCUAGAGCUAAUACAUGCACCUAAUCCGGUCCCUCGUGGAUCGGAUGCAGUUAUUUGCCCAAAACCAAUCCGGCCUUAGGGUCGGUCACUUGGUGACUCUGAAUAACCGAAGCAGAGCGCAUGGUCUCGUACCGGCGCCAGAUCUUUCAAGUGUCUGACUUAUUAGCUUGUUGUUAGGUUAUGUUCCUAACAAGGCAUCGAUGGGUAACGGCGGGUAGUGGCUCUACUCCGGAGAGGGAGCCUGAGAAACGGCUACCACAUCCAAGGAAGGCAGCAGGCGCGCAAAUUACCCACUCCCGGCACGGGGAGGUAGUGACGAAAAAUAACGAUGCGAGAGCUUUAUGCUCCUCGUAAUCGGAAUGGGUACACUUUAAAACCUUGAAUUAGAAACAAUUGGAGGGCAAGUCUGGUA
Molecule: ribosomal RNA, 563 nt
Filed under: uncultured eukaryote
Lineage: Eukaryota
Description: bacterial SSU rRNA
Rfam family: Eukaryotic small subunit ribosomal RNA
Source: RNAcentral